GACGAACGCUGGCGGCGUGCUUAACACAUGCAAGUCGAACGGAAAGGCCCUGCUUUUGUGGGGUGCUCGAGUGGCGAACGGGUGAGUAACACGUGAGUAACCUGCCCUUGUCUUUGGGAUAACUUUAGGAAACUGGGGCUAAUACCGGAUAGGAGCUCCUGCUGCAUGGUGGGGGUUGGAAAGUUUCGGCGGUUGGGGAUGGACUCGCGGCUUAUCAGCUUGUUGGUGGGGUAGUUGCUUACCAAGGCUUUGACGGGUAGCCGGCCUGGGAGGGUUACCGGGCACAUUGGGACUGAGGUAGGGCCCAGAAUGCUACGGGAGGCAACAGGCGGAAAUCUUGCAGAAUAGGCGGAAGCCUGAGGCAGCAACGCCGCGUUCGGGAAGACGUCCUUCGGGUUGUGAACCGCUUUCGCCUGUGACGAAGCGUUAGUGACGGUAAUGAGUAAAGAAGCACCGGCUAACUACGUG
This 468-nucleotide ribosomal RNA is filed under the name uncultured bacterium. Its description in RNAcentral is "partial 16S ribosomal RNA". It matches the Rfam family "Bacterial small subunit ribosomal RNA", at positions 28 to 507 of the family's 1533-position model. The record is from RNAcentral.